This 47-nucleotide non-coding RNA is filed under the name Schistosoma mansoni. The record is from RNAcentral. Lineage: Eukaryota; Metazoa; Platyhelminthes; Trematoda; Strigeidida; Schistosomatidae.
AUCCGGCUGACGAGUCCCAAAAAUAGGACUUAACGCGUGUCCUGGAU